Molecule: long non-coding RNA, 841 nt
Organism: Cucurbita moschata (crookneck pumpkin)
Lineage: Eukaryota; Viridiplantae; Streptophyta; Magnoliopsida; Cucurbitales; Cucurbitaceae
Exons: 5
Source: RefSeq, a predicted model, not a curated record
GGCUUUGGCUUUUCCAGUUCUCCAUUAACACCCAACGCAUCCCUUCCUCUCUCUCAUUUGCUCCAGUUUUCUCCUCUCCUCUUCCACAUGUGCAUUCAUGAUAUGAAAAAACAUUUUGAUGAGAGUGUUCUAUCAAAAUUGCCUAAUAGUUAUCAAGAAAUUUUGAGGCAAUCUAUAACAAUUGAAGAGGAGACGUGGGUACUCACAAACACCUCCAAAAUAAUUUCUUUUAUUUUUCCACAGAGCUUUUUUUUCUUUUUUUUUCUUUUUAUUUUUUUAUUUUUUUAUUUUUUUUAUAAUUUAAUUGUAAUGUUCACAUUCAUGUUAUAUCUCAAUUUGAAUCUGCAGACGGUAAUGCAUGUGACCAUGGUCCAAUUCCUUUGGUAAUAUUGAUCUAUUAGAUCCUGGCUCGUUACAGAGCACUGAUGAUCUUCUUUAACCAAAUAGUUCAUUUGUAACAUAUUUUAGAACCAUCCAGUAGAAUAGAGGAGCCUUUUGAUAUGGAGGCCAAUGUAUUACACAUUAUUCGCUACAAGCCCAUAAAACCACUUGUAGAGAGCGGGAGUGUCAUCGAUUUGCUGUAGACAAUCUCGACGGUCCUUGGCAGCUAUCAACAUCGGUGAUGGAGACUAUUCCACUGAUUACUUUGGAGGACAAUUUCAAAUUGGUUGAGCUCAUAGAUGAAUGGUGGAGCAUUGAAGGCACUGGCAAAGACAGUAGAGAGAGAGAUAAACUCUGUGGGAGAGCCAUGAUUUGUCUGACUUUGUCUUUACCUACUCCAACCUUGUUAGAGAGAGUAAUGGAUCAACACCUUCCUUCAUUACCCCACUUGCACUACUUU